RNAcentral lists this ribosomal RNA (460 nucleotides) under uncultured bacterium. RNAcentral's name for it is "bacterial SSU rRNA". It matches the Rfam family "Bacterial small subunit ribosomal RNA", at positions 28 to 507 of the family's 1533-position model. The record is from RNAcentral.
GAUGAACGCUAGCGGUGUGCCUAAUGCAUGCAAGUCGAACGGGAUCCUUUGGAUUCGUCUGAAGGUGAGAGUGGCGAACGGGUGAGUAACACGUAGGUGACCUGCCCCGGAGAGGGGGACAACCACUGGAAACGGUGGCUAAUACCCCAGAUGUUAUUGCGCUUAGAAAGCAAUUACUAAAGUUCCGGCGCUCCGGGAGGGGCCUGCGGCCCAUCAGCUUGUUGGUAAGGUAAUGGCUUACCAAGGCUAAGACGGGUAGGGGGCGUGAGAGCGUGACCCCCCACACUGGUACUGAGACACGGACCAGAUACCUGCGGGUAGCAGCAGCAAGGAAUAUUGCCCAAUGGACGAAAGUCUGAGGCAGCAACACCGCGUGGAGGAUGAAGGCCUUCGGUUGUAGACUCCUUUCUGGGGAAGGAGAAGGACGGUACCCCAGGAAUAAGUCUCGGCUAACUACGUG